GAGUUUGAUCCUGGCUCAGAAUCAACGCUGGCGGCGUGCCUAACACAGCAAGUCGGACGCGAAACCCGCAUUUAAGUGGGGAGUAGAGUGGCGAACGGGUGAGUAACACGUGGGUAAUCUGCCCUUUGGAGAGGGAUAACCCCGCGAAAGCGGGGCUAAUACCUUAUAAGUUUUUCGGAUUGGAAGGAUCUGGAAAGGAAAGGAUGCAAAUCGCCGAAGGAGGAGCCCGCGACCCAUUAGCUAGUUGGAGAGGUAAGAGCUCACCAAGGCGACGAUGGGUAGCCGGUCUGAGAGGACGGACGGCCACACUGGGACUGAGACACGGCCCAGACUCCUACGGGAGGCAGCAGUGGGGAAUUUUGGGCAAUGGGCGCAAGCCUGACCCAGCAACGCCGCGUGCAGGACGAAGGCCUUCGGGUCGUAAACUGCUGUCCAGAGGGACGAAGCAAGUGACGGUACCUCUGGAGGAAGCCCCGGCUAACUCCGUGCCAGCAGCCGCGGUAAUAC
RNAcentral lists this ribosomal RNA (507 nucleotides) under uncultured bacterium. Its description in RNAcentral is "bacterial SSU rRNA". It matches the Rfam family "Bacterial small subunit ribosomal RNA", at positions 9 to 526 of the family's 1533-position model. The record is from RNAcentral.